CCUACACUAGUCAAGGCAGAAAAGUCCCAGAAUGGAGGAAAGAGCACUACAAGUUCUCACAAAGACAACAAUCUGAGCCUCUCAUUGCCUCUUCUUUGGGGAGAAAGUAAGCAGAAGAGACAAGAAUGAGCAUGGCAGGAAACUUAAUUAAUCCGAGUCAACAGCCAUGCUGCAGGAAGAGGAAACACUCUGGGUGUGCUGUGAACAUGGUGCUAAGAUUACGAAAAUGUUCUCAAGGGGUUUGGCAAUGUCUAGCCUGUCCCUAGGAAACCUGAAGCUAAACCAAACUCUGCUAUCAAAUUCAAGCCAUGGCCAAGAGUAAAUCAAAGGAACAUAA
Molecule: long non-coding RNA, 337 nt
Organism: Mastomys coucha (southern multimammate mouse)
Lineage: Eukaryota; Metazoa; Chordata; Mammalia; Rodentia; Muridae
Exons: 3
Source: RefSeq, a predicted model, not a curated record